CCUACGGGUGGCAGCAGUGGGGAAUUUUGCGCAAUGCUCGUAAGAGUGACGCAGCGACGCCGCGUGAAUGACGAAGGCCUUCGGGUCGUAAAGUUCUUUCGACAGGGAAGAAAAUGCCUAUAAGUAACUGUGUAUGUAUUGACGGUACCUGUAUAAGCAGCCCCGGCUAACUCCGUGCCAGCAGCCGCGGUAAUACGGAGGAUGCGAGCGUUAUCCGGAUUUAUUGGGUUUAAAGGGUGCGUAGGCGGAAUGCCAAGUCAGCGGUAAAAUCGCGGGGCUCAACCUCGCUCCGCCGUUGAAACUGGCGUUCUUGAGUGGGCGAGAAGUAUGCGGAAUGCGUGGUGUAGCGGUGAAAUGCAUAGAUAUCUGGAGGAACAUCAGUGGCGAAGGCGACUAUCUGGCACAUAACUGACGCUGAGGAGCGAAAGCGUGGGUAGCAAACAGGAUUAGAUACCCCAGUAGUC
RNAcentral lists this ribosomal RNA (464 nucleotides) under uncultured bacterium. RNAcentral's name for it is "partial 16S ribosomal RNA". It matches the Rfam family "Bacterial small subunit ribosomal RNA", at positions 338 to 795 of the family's 1533-position model. The record is from RNAcentral.